This 433-nucleotide ribosomal RNA is filed under the name uncultured bacterium. Its description in RNAcentral is "partial 16S ribosomal RNA". It matches the Rfam family "Bacterial small subunit ribosomal RNA", at positions 29 to 507 of the family's 1533-position model. The record is from RNAcentral.
AACGAACGCUGGCGGCAUGCCUAACACAUGCAAGUCGAACGAGACCUUCGGGUAUAGUGGCGCACGGGUGCGUAACGCGUGGGAACCUGCCCUUAGGUUCGGAAUAACUCCCCGAAAGGGGUGCUAAUACCGGAUAAUGUCUUCGGACCAAAGAUUUAUCGCCUUUGGAUGGGCCCGCGUUGGAUUAGCUAGUUGGUAGGGUAAAAGCCUACCAAGGCGACGAUCCAUAGCUGGUCUGAGAGGAUGAUCAGCCACACUGUGACUGAGACACGGCCCAGACUCCUACGGGAGGCAGCAGUGGGGAAUAUUGGACAAUGGGCGAAAGCCUGAUCCAGCAAUGCCGCGUGAGUGAUGAAGGCCUUAGGGUUGUAAAGCUCUUUUACCCGGGAUGAUAAUGACAGUACCGGGAGAAUAAGCUCCGGCUAACUCCGUG